UCUAAUAGGUGUUCUCAUGCAUUGACACGUAAUCUUGAGACGAUUUAGCAUGCAACCUGUACAAAUGGGUUGUCCUAUAAGUUAUCUGGUAGUGAUAUAUAAUUCCUUAAUUUGUGCAUAAGAAAAAUAAAAUAUUAUGAGUUGCAUGGCAACAAUAACUCGUACAAUGGUUGUUAAGUUGUCUCGUAGUCCUACAAUUUAGCUCAUGAGGUGGUUGUUUCGCGAAGCAAUGACUUCUUUCUCUCUCCUCGCUCUCUCUCCUCCACAUCAUCAAAAAUCCUACGUGGCACUGCAUGAGACGACCUAUGAGACCGCUAACGUGUAGCAAUGUACUUGCCCUCAGCCACCAAACAAUAUUUUCCUCUUAUAACAAAUCAACCAUUUCAUCUUUUUAGCCGACUUAGGGCAAGUACACUGGUGUCGUCUAAUAGGCGGUCUCAUGCAUUGACAUGUAAUCUUGAGACGAUUCAAUAGGCAACUCGUACAAUGGGUUGUCCUAUAAGUUGUCUGAUAAUGGUAUAUAAUUCCUUAAUUUGUGCAUAAGAAAAACAAAAUAUUAUGAGUUGUAUGGCAACAAUAACUCGUACAAUGGUUGUUAAGUUGUCUCGUAGUCCUACAAUUUAGCUCAUGAGGUGGUUGUUUCGCGAAGCAACGACCUCUUUCUCUCUCCUCGCUCUCUCCUCCACAUCAUCAAAAAUCCUACGUGUCACUGCAUGAGACGACCUAUAAGAUCGCUGACGUGUAGCAAUGUAUUUGCCUUGUAAGCUGAAACCAACUAGUCGCACAAACUUGCGCGGUGCACGGGCGGGAAAUCCCC
Molecule: long non-coding RNA, 817 nt
Filed under: Setaria viridis
Lineage: Eukaryota; Viridiplantae; Streptophyta; Magnoliopsida; Poales; Poaceae
Description: long non-coding RNA (SVIR_LNC000152)
Source: RNAcentral